AAACCACGCUACAAGUGGGACUAAGCCAUGCGAGUCGACACAGCAAUGUGUGGCAUACGGCUCAGUAACACGUAGUCAACAUGCCCAGGGGACGUGGAUAACCUCGGGAAACUUGAGGAUAAACCGCGAUAGGUCACUACUUCUGGAAUGGGUAAUGACCCAAACCUAUAUGGCCCCUGGAUUGGACUGCGGCCGAUCAGGCUGUUGGUGAGGUAAUGGCCCACCAAACCUGUAACCGGUACGGGCUCUGAGAGGAGGAGCCCGGAGAUGGGCACUGAGACAAGGGCCCAGGCCCUAUGGGGCGCAGCAGGCGCGAAACCUCUGCAAUAGGCGAAAGCUUGACAGGGUUACUCUGAGUUGAUUUCCGUUAAGGAGAUCUUUUGACACCUCUAAAAAUGGUGUAGAAUAAGGGGUGGGCAAGUCUGGUGUCAGCCGCCGCGGUAAUACCAGCACCCGAGUGGUCGGGACGAUUAUUGGGCCUAAAGCAUCCGUAGCCGGUCUACAAGUCUUCCGUUAAAUCCACCUUGCUCAACAGAUGGGCUGCGGAAGAUACUAUAGGGGCUAGGAGGCGGGAGAGGCAAGCGGUACUCAGUGGGUAGGGGUAAAAUCUCUUAUUCAUUUGAAAACACCAGUUGGCGAAGGCGGCUUGCAAACGCCUCGACGGGUGAGGGAUGAAACUUGGGGGGACCAACCGGAAUUAAUACCGGGGUAUCCCACAGUAAACGAUNCAAACUCGGUGAUUGGUUGGCCUUUU
Molecule: ribosomal RNA, 754 nt
Filed under: uncultured archaeon
Lineage: Archaea
Description: bacterial SSU rRNA
Rfam family: Archaeal small subunit ribosomal RNA
Source: RNAcentral